This is a long non-coding RNA of Portunus trituberculatus (swimming crab), 1260 nucleotides long. RefSeq lists it as uncharacterized. The transcript is spliced from 2 exons. NCBI's taxonomy places the organism in Eukaryota, Metazoa, Arthropoda, Malacostraca, Decapoda, Portunidae. The record is from RefSeq and is a predicted model, not a curated record.
AGGAAGGGGGAUGGUUUGCUCAUGAGUGGCGCCUAAAGGGUGGUCCUUCUAGUUUUCCCGCCUCUGUGUCUCAGCUCACGUCUGGCGCAGAGAGAGAGAGAGAGAGAGAGAGAGAGAGAGAGAGAGAGAGAGAGAGAGAGAGAGAGAGAGAGAGAGAGAGAGAGAGAGAGAGAGAGAGAGAGAGAUAUGCCUAUGUGAAUAUAUGCAUGUGUGCAAGUUGAAAUCACUAAUUUAUGCAUUGUCAACUGUAAUGCUGAUACACAUUUUGUCACCACUAGUUUCCACUACAUACAAGCUGGUGUUCAUCACUUCUUUGUUACCCGUUUCUGGCACUUCCAGUUGUGUGAUCCAGAAAAUCACUUUUCAUUCUGCAUAGAUGGCCCAUAUCAUUUGUCUUUUUUGUUAGUAGUUGCUUCUAGGCAAUGAAUAUAGUCAUUACUAAAACUCUGUGGAUCAUUUGUAAAAGUCAAUAGAGAAGUUUGCUUGUGUUAACAAGUCUGUUUGAGGAAUUAUUUUAUAUUACUAAUGUUGUACUCAUUCCAAGUGCAAGUAUUGUGAGCACCUCUGUUUUUAUAUAUUAGUAAGUGUGGUAGUGUUACAUAGUAUCAUUACCUUUGCUAGUCUCAGCUCUCUCAUCUUCCAGGAGCUGGGAUUCUGGCUACUUGAUUUUAUAAUUCAGUAUUAUUUGUCGUGAAUUUUUUUAUACUUUGCUGCACAGUUUAUGAUACUGCAUAUGUUGUGUGCAUGGGUGCCAAUGACCACAUAGUACUGUCUGGGGUUUGCUUGUUAUGGACUGACCAAAAAUGUCAGUGAUAUAUUGUAAAUUUUUUCUUUUCUUUUUUUCACUGGCAUAUUUUUUUUUUUUUUUUUUUUUUUCCUCUCCUUCUCUCCAUUAACAAUUGAUAUAGAUAUAUUUAGGGUUGGAUUAUUGUAUAGAAGCAACCUUUACCCUGUCUUUCAUGGAAAAAUUAAACCACCUUUUUCUCCUCCCCCCUCCUCUCAAGGAAUCUGUACAUUGGUUUUAAGAUAUUAGCAUACCAAUUGGAAAUUGAUUAGAAAUUGGAAAUGUGAAGUGGUUAGAUGAAGUGAAGACAAAGCAGGUCACUCACAACAAGGGUCCAAACUAGUACUGGUAGGUGUUUGUAAGAAGCUCACGACCAUGUUCUUCCAUCUUGAAGUGAGCCUGUCUAUGCUGGACUAUAUUUAUGAAACUAAAGCAUUGUAAACUCCCAGCAAUUUUUAAAUAAAAUUAUGUAUUUU